This 463-nucleotide ribosomal RNA is filed under the name uncultured bacterium. Its description in RNAcentral is "partial 16S ribosomal RNA". It matches the Rfam family "Bacterial small subunit ribosomal RNA", at positions 28 to 507 of the family's 1533-position model. The record is from RNAcentral.
GACGAACGCUGGCGGCGUGCCUAACACAUGCAAGUCGAACGGUGAACCUCUUCGGAGGGGCUCAGUGGCGAGUGGGUGAGUAACACCUGCGCAACGUGUCCCCGUCUCUGCCAUAACUGCAUGAAAUUGGGGCUAAUACCGUAUGUUCCCCGCUUCCCUCGCGGGUGGUGGUGCCAACGGUUUCCGGCUGGGGAUGGGCGCGGAGCCCAUCCGCUGGUUGGUGGGGUAGUGUGCUACCAAGGCGACGACGGGUAGCCGGCCUGAGAGGGGGGCCGGCCACACUAGGACUGAGACACGGCACAGACUCCAACGGGAGGCAGCGGUGGAGAAGAUUGCGCAGUGGGCGGGAGCAUGGCGUAGCGCAGCCGCGUGGGGGAAGACGUCCAUCGGGUUGUGAACCACUGUCAGCAGGGACGAGGCGAUAGUGACGGUACCGGCAGAAGAAGCACCGGCUAACUACGUG